This is a long non-coding RNA of Oncorhynchus tshawytscha (Chinook salmon), 507 nucleotides long. The record is from Ensembl. NCBI's taxonomy places the organism in Eukaryota, Metazoa, Chordata, Actinopteri, Salmoniformes, Salmonidae.
GGGUAAUACUAUUAUAUUAUACAGUACAACAGACAGGGACAGGGGUAAUAAUAUUAUAUUAUACAGUAUAACAGACAGGGACAGGGGUAAUAAUAUUAUAUUAUACAGUACAACAGACAGGAGAGGUAAUAAUAUUAUAUUUUACAGUACAACAGACAUGGACAGGGGUAAUAAUAUUAUAUUUUACAGUACAACAGACAGGGACAGAGGUAAUAAUAUUAUAUUAUAGAGUACAACAGACAGGGACAGGGGUAAUAAUAUUAUAUUUUACAGUACAACAGACAGGGACAGAGGUAAUAAUAUUAUAUUAUACAGUACAACAGACAGGGACAGGGGUAAUAAUAUAUUAUACAGUACAACAGACAGGGACAGAGGUAAUAAUAUUAUAUUAUACAGUACAACAGACAGGGACAGGGGUAAUAAUAUAUUAUACAGUACAACAGACAGGGACAGGGGUAAUAAUAUUAUAUUAUACAGUACAACAGACAGGGACAGGGGUAAUAAUAU